This 591-nucleotide ribosomal RNA is filed under the name uncultured Geobacter sp. RNAcentral describes it as "bacterial SSU rRNA". It matches the Rfam family "Bacterial small subunit ribosomal RNA", at positions 335 to 916 of the family's 1533-position model. The record is from RNAcentral. Lineage: Bacteria; Pseudomonadati; Thermodesulfobacteriota; Desulfuromonadia; Geobacterales; Geobacteraceae.
ACUCCUACGGGAGGCAGCAGUGGGGAGCUUUGCGCAAUGGGCGAAAGCCUGACGCAGCAACGCCGCGUGAGUGAUGAAGGCUUUCGGGUCGUAAAGCUCUGUCGAGGGGAAAGAAGUGUAUUGUGGUUAAUACCCGCGAUACUUGACGGUACCCCUAAAGGAAGCACCGGCUAACUCCGUGCCAGCAGCCGCGGUAAUACGGGGGGUGCAAGCGUUGUUCGGAAUUAUUGGGCGUAAAGAGCGUGUAGGCGGUUUGUUAAGUCUGAUGUGAAAGCCCUGGGCUCAACCCAGGAAGUGCAUUGGAAACUGUCAGACUUGAAUACGGGAGAGGGCAGUGGAAUUCCUAGUGUAGGAGUGAAAUCCGUAGAUAUUAGGAGGAACACCGGUGGCGAAGGCGGCUGCCUGGACCGAUAUUGACGCUGAGACACGAAAGCGUGGGUAGCAAACAGGAUUAGAUACCCUGGUAGUCCACGCCGUGAACGAUGAGAACUAKGUGUUGCGGGUAUUGACCCCUGCAGUGCCGCAKCUAACGCAUUAAGUUCUCCGCCUGGGAAGUACGGUCGCAAGACUAAAACUCAAAUGAAUUGACGG